This 1398-nucleotide ribosomal RNA is filed under the name uncultured bacterium. RNAcentral's name for it is "16S ribosomal RNA". It matches the Rfam family "Bacterial small subunit ribosomal RNA". The record is from RNAcentral.
AGAGUUUGAUCCUGGCUCAGGAUGAACGCUAGCUACAGGCUUAACACAUGCAAGUCGAGGGGCAGCAGGAGCUUAGCUUGCUAAGUUCGCUGGCGACCGGCGCACGGGUGAGUAACGCGUAUCCAACCUUCCCCCUAGUAGAGGAUAGCCCGGUGAAAAUCGGAUUAAUACUCUAUGUUGUUCAAUGCAGGCAUCUAAGUUGAACCAAAGAUUUAUCGCUAAGGGAUGGGGAUGCGUCUGAUUAGGUAGUCGGCGGGGUAACGGCCCACCGAGCCAUCGAUCAGUAGGGGUUCCGAGAGGAAGGUCCCCCACAUUGGAACUGAGACACGGUCCAAACUCCUACGGGAGGCAGCAGUGAGGAAUAUUGGUCAAUGGGCGAGAGCCUGAACCAGCCAAGUAGCGUGCAGGAAGACGGCCCUAUGGGUUGUAAACUGCUUUUGCUGCGGAGCAAUAAGGUGUACGUGUGCACCGAUGAGAGUACGCAGCGAAUAAGCAUCGGCUAACUCCGUGCCAGCAGCCGCGGUAAUACGGAGGAUGCGAGCGUUAUCCGGAUUUAUUGGGUUUAAAGGGUGCGUAGGCUGUUCGUCAAGUCAGUGGUGAAAUGCCGGGGCUCAACCCCGGAGCUGCCAUUGAUACUGUCGGGCUUGAAUCCUGCUGCCGUGGGAGGAAUGAGUAGUGUAGCGGUGAAAUGCAUAGAUAUUACUCAGAACACCGAUUGCGAAGGCAUCUCACGAAACAGGCAUUGACGCUGAGGCACGAAAGCGUGGGGAUCAAACAGGAUUAGAUACCCUGGUAGUCCACGCAGUAAACGAUGAUGACUAACCGCUGGCGAUACAGUGUCAGUGGCCAAGCGAAAGCGAUAAGUCAUCCACCUGGGGAGUACGACCGCAAGGUUGAAACUCAAAGGAAUUGACGGGGGCCCGCACAAGCGGAGGAACAUGUGGUUUAAUUCGAUGAUACGCGAGGAACCUUACCCGGGCUCGAACGGUGCAGGAAGGAUCUAGAGAUAGUGACGCCCUUCGGGGCCUGCAUCGAGGUGCUGCAUGGUUGUCGUCAGCUCGUGUCGUGAGAUGUUGGCUCAAGUGCCAUAACGAGCGCAACCCUUGCCGCCAGUUACCAUCAAGUGAAGUUGGGGACUCUGGCGGGACUGCCACCGUAAGGUGUGAGGAAGGCGGGGAUGACGUCAAAUCAGCACGGCCCUUACGUCCGGGGCGACACACGUGUUACAAUGACGCCUACAGAGGGAAGCCACCCGGCGACGGGGAGCAGAUCUCGAAAAGGCGCCUCAGUUCGGACUGGAGUCUGCAACCCGACUCCACGAAGCUGGAUUCGCUAGUAAUCGCGCAUCAGCCAUGGCGCGGUGAAUACGUUCCCGGGCCUUGCACUCACCGCCCGUCA